CUCACCUCAAGUGCCCCUUUCAUAACUAUGUGUAACACCCCAACUGAACUGAUCCAAAUAAUUUUCACGUCCUAAAUCACCUAGUGCAAAAUGAUUAACCCAAAUUAUUUAACAAUAGCAACUUAGGUUAUAUAUAUUCUUUUAUCUUUUCAUCCCACAACAAUGUGGGAUUGCUGCUCCAAAGCCAAGCGAUGGCUUCCCACAUGCUAAUCCCAAGCCAAGCGAUGACUUGGGACAUCACACUAUGUCUAGCAUAAACCAAACAGGAUGGAGUCCAUAAGGUUCACCUACUCCUGACAUGGCAAAAUCCAUGAAAUCUCCAACAUUAUAAUUGCUAAAUUUGUCACUUCAAAAUAUAAAAAGAAUGAGAAGUAUUCAAAUCUCCUGAUAAAAAGUGAUAAUAAGAUAUCAAUCAGGAUUUCAAAUGUACAUGAUCACAAAAAGAAAGCUCCACCUAUCCCAGGCAUAAACAGGUACAAAUGUGAACGUAAAAAUCAAUGAGAGAGGAAUGGAAGCCAAAAAAAAAAAAAAACUACUCUUCUAAUUCUAUACUUCAAUUCACUGGCAAAAUGUUGAUUAUUUGUGCUUUUAAUAUUCAACAUUA
Molecule: unclassified non-coding RNA, 604 nt
Filed under: Hevea brasiliensis (rubber tree)
Lineage: Eukaryota; Viridiplantae; Streptophyta; Magnoliopsida; Malpighiales; Euphorbiaceae
Source: RNAcentral